AGAAGAGGAGGAAUUGUAUUCUGGAAGUAUACUUAAGGUAAUACAGUUGAGAAAUCUCAUCUAUACAUGGACCUGAUUUAGAUGAUGAAAUUCUAGACUUUGAGCUGAUGCUAUAAUGGGAUUCGACUUUGGGGUAGCUUGAGAGGGAGCGAGUGUAUUUUGCAUGUGGAAGGAAUGUAAAUCACCAGAAUUCAGAGGGCAUGCUCGUGGUGGCCAUUCUUUAAAACAUCCCCCAGUGAUUCCGACCUCCUGAUAUGCAUGCCUUUCCAUAGUCUCCUACAUUGUGUCUGGGUUGGUCUGCAAAGCCAAUGCAGUAUGAAAUGAUGUGUGUGACUUCCAAAGCUAGGUCCUAAAAGACAUUAGGGCUUUCCGUCUCCUCCCUCCCCACUCUCCCUCUUUCUUGUUCUGCUUUCUCUGAGAGAAAUUAACUACUAUGUCAUGAGGUCACUCAAGAAACUCUAUGGAGAGGUCCACGUGGCAAGGAACUGAGCCCUCCUGCUACGAGCCAGUGAGGAACUGAACCCUCCAACUACCAACCACGUGGGGCAGCCAUCUUGGAAACAGAUCCUCCUGCCCCGGUUAAGACUUCAGAUGACUACAGCCAAUCUCUUGACUGAAACCUCAUAAGACUCUUGAACUAGAACCAACUGACUCCCAAAACUGUGUAAGGUGAUGUCCACUGGUCACUUAUGUGUACCCUCUCUGUCCCGAUAUGGCUCCAGGACACUGACAUCAGAUGAUAUUUCCAAGGUCCAACUCUCCUCCACAGCCUGCCAAAGCUGGUCAAAAAGAGGAGUCACUUCCCUCAAGGAUGAACUGUAAAGGAAUGCCUGCCACUUAGAACACGGCCCAAGUUCCUGAGCACAGCUUUCGAGGCUCUCACCACCUGACCCCCGUAAACCUGGCCAGCCACAUCCUCAUGCCUCCUUUCCUGCAUCACCUGCUCCAGCGAACUAAAGCAGCAAGGUGCCCUGAAGGUCUCCACCCAUCUCUGAACCCCCCUAUUUCUGCUAAGCCAUUAUCUUUCUCCUGCACUUAACACAACUGAGGGGCUCAAAGACAGAGCCAUAGUCUAUAAACCCUGUGAAAUUUCACCAUGCAACUUUUUGAAAAUCCUUGUCAGACAAUUCCAAAUAGACGCUAGCCAUCCAAUUGUGUCCCAUGCACCCGUGCAAAUUUAAUAAACAGAUCUACACCCAAGCUACUUGCAGUGGUUUUUGGUUUUGAGAAUGGGUCUCCCGGUGUUGCCCAUGUUGGUCUCAAAUUCCUGGGCUCAAGCGAUCCUCUUGCCUCAGCCUCCCAAGGAUCUGGGACUUCAAGCAUGCACCACUGCACCCAAGAAACCUUCUCCAGGAUAACCCUGAUCUAUUAUCCUUUGAGUAUGAUUAUUAACUGAAGAAUUUAACUAUCCUAACAUUCAGCCAACCCUGUCCUCGAGCACAGGGCUGUGCUUGUCAUAGACUCUUGAAGAGCCUGUGGAAGUCAAUAUCCUGCCCGUAUUUCCCCAACUAGCAAUUCCAAAACCCAGGACUAGUCUGACAGGCUCUGUUUGGAACUGCAGACCCAUUCUGGCCCCUACCAAUUGUUUUCUUCCCUAGAUCAAGCCAAAACACACCUGAAUAACCUGCUCUUCCUCCCAGAUAUUGGAACAUAUCAUGAAACCACAAUAAAUAUGUGCACACAGGCAGAUCGAUGGAAUAAAACACAAGGCCGAAAAUAAAUCCAAAUACACAUAGGAAUUUAGAAUAUAAUGAGAGGUGUUUCAAAUCAUGAAAGGGUAUUUUGUUUACUAAAUGACAUUAGUACAAAACUGUAAAGUUAGAUUUGUACCUCAUGCCUUACGCUAAGAUAAACAAAUUCCAAAUGGAUGAAAGCUUUGCAUGGGAAUACUAAAACCGUAAAAGCAUUAGGAUUGUGAAAGCAUUCACGCAUUGUAAGUGCUUAUUAGCAUCUAUAAGACGUCAGGAAAAAAAUGUGAGAACAUUCCAAUAAUCUUCAAAGCCCUUUAAAAAAAUACUGUCCAAAAUCCAGGAGCUUUUAAAGAAUAAAUUCAACUAAUGAAAAUUAAAUUUUCAGCAUGGCAAAAAAACAAACCCACUAAAAGUCAAGAGAAAAACAAACUCCUUAAAAAAAUGCAACUCUUAUUACAAAGAGCCAAUGUUCCUAAUAUACAGAGCUAUGAACUGAGAAAACAAAAUCAACUUAAUAGGCAAAGGAUAUGAACAUUUCACAAAA
Molecule: long non-coding RNA, 2235 nt
Filed under: Homo sapiens (human)
Lineage: Eukaryota; Metazoa; Chordata; Mammalia; Primates; Hominidae
Description: HSALNT0388137
Source: RNAcentral